RNAcentral lists this ribosomal RNA (632 nucleotides) under Rothia koreensis. RNAcentral describes it as "bacterial SSU rRNA". It matches the Rfam family "Bacterial small subunit ribosomal RNA", at positions 61 to 699 of the family's 1533-position model. The record is from RNAcentral. Lineage: Bacteria; Bacillati; Actinomycetota; Actinomycetes; Micrococcales; Micrococcaceae.
GUCGACGCUGAAGCUGGGUGCUUGCACCUGGUGGAUGAGUGGCGAACGGGUGAGUAAUACGUGAGUGACCUUCCUUGGACUCUGGGAUAAGCCCGGGAAACUGGGUCUAAUACCGGAUACGACCAGUCCUCGCAUGGGGUGCUGGUGGAAAGGGUUUGUACUGGUUCUUGAUGGGCUCACGUCCUAUCAGCUUGUUGGUGAGGUAAUGGCUUACCAAGGCGACGACGGGUAGCCGGCCUGAGAGGGUGACCGGCCACACUGGGACUGAGACACGGCCCAGACUCCUACGGGAGGCAGCAGUGGGGAAUAUUGCACAAUGGGCGCAAGCCUGAUGCAGCGACGCCGCGUGGGGGAUGACGGCCUUCGGGUUGUAAACCUCUUUCAGCAGGGAAGAAGCGAAAGUGACGGUACCUGCAGAAGAAGCGCCGGCUAACUACGUGCCAGCAGCCGCGGUAAUACGUAGGGCGCAAGCGUUGUCCGGAAUUAUUGGGCGUAAAGAGCUCGUAGGCGGUUUGUCGCGUCUGCUGUGAAAGCCCGGGGCUCAACCCCGGGUGUGCAGUGGGUACGGGCAGGCUGGAGUGCAGUAGGGGAGACUGGAAUUCCUGGUGUAGCGGUGAAAUGCGCAGAUAUCA